Lycium barbarum (goji berry) is the source of this 1019-nucleotide RNA transcript. RefSeq lists it as uncharacterized. NCBI's taxonomy places the organism in Eukaryota, Viridiplantae, Streptophyta, Magnoliopsida, Solanales, Solanaceae. The transcript has 3 exons. The record is from RefSeq and is a predicted model, not a curated record.
AUUCUAGAAACGUGUCAAGUGCUGAAACUCUGUACUCAAGCGACAGAAGCUAAAGUAAAACAACAUUCUGCUUUCUCCUUCCCUUCUGCCUUUUGCCUUAACCAAGUACGAUGACUGACCAUCAAAACCCUAAACCCACCGAUAACCUCCCUUCAACAAAUCCACCUAAAAUCGGAUCCUCUAACAGUGGAUUUUCCGGGUCGCCCCACUUUCCAAACCCGCCCGACCGUUCAAACCCGGACCCGGCAACACUGAGAGAGCAAUGGAAGUUUGCUAUUAGACAGUACAGCAAAUGGUAUUCACAUGCUUGGGGUACUGCUAUUUUAGCUGGGCUUUCUUUUUACGCCCUUGGUUGGAUUAUUAAAGGUGAUAAUCCUUUGCCCUCUUUCAAGCCCAAAGAAUCGGAUAGUAAAAAUGCUUCUUCUUCUUCUUCUUCGUCUAGUGAUGUUCCCGAGGUCAAGCGAAGUUGAUGAUGACGAUAAUUUAUAUUUAGGUGAUAAUCCUUUGCCUUCUUUCAAGCCCCUAGAAUCGGAUACUAAAAAUGCUUCUUUGGCUUCUGAUGAUGUUGGUGAUGUUGGUGCUGUUCCCGAGGUUUAGCGGAGUUGAUGAUGACUAUAAUUUCUAUUUAGGUCUGUGGUGUAGCUCUCUUUUACUCAAUCAAAUAAGGUACCCAUGAACAGCUGAAGUCUCCCUCCCCUCUGAACCCCUGACAGCUGGGCUUGUUAAAAUUCUCUUUCUGCAAGCUCUAUGUGGAUGGAAGUGCAAUCACUCCUAACACGUAAUUCCUUGGCAAAUUCAGUGCAUCUAUCUCCAAGGGAAAAAACCCAACAUUGUAAUAGUCCAGACAAGUCUCAAGUGUGGCUUUUUUCUUCAACCUUUGUGUCCUGCAAUGAAUUCAACAAAAUGCAAGAGAAAAACAAAUAGUACCCUGAGUUGUUUUCAUUAAGAAGACUUUUGAUGUGUAUUUCCUGUACAGUAGACGUGCAUAUCAAUAAUACUGUAAUUUUGAGUUGUUGUAA